AGCUCCUUUCCAAUCUUUUUUACUCUAGAGAGUGCCUAUAAUUUUCCCGGGCUAGUAACAAACCUCUGAUUGACCGCUCCUCAGCUUUGAACAGUGUCUUUUACCAUCUCAGCUAUACAGAUUGUGUACCUUGACUUAUCUUCAUCUUCUUCUGAUGUACAGUUCCUCUAACUCCUCUUGCUGGUUUCCACAGGUCAACUGUUGGUGUUUAGAGACGCUGGAAGGGUAACCCACUCUGAAGUUUCAUGCUACCUGCUCAUUUCCUGAAUGGGAAACUGCCAAGUUCCAUCUCCUCCCUACCACAGUUAACUCCAGAUAAGCAUAUGCAAGAAAUUGUGUAGAGGAGUCCUAAGGGCAAAAAGAAAG
Molecule: long non-coding RNA, 366 nt
Filed under: Calidris pugnax (ruff)
Lineage: Eukaryota; Metazoa; Chordata; Aves; Charadriiformes; Scolopacidae
Description: lncRNA (ENSCPUG00000017224.1)
Source: RNAcentral